GCCGGCCAGGGAGCCAGGCGGACACGGCGGGCGGCUCGUGCGUGCCAAGCGCGACAUGGCGCGGAAGCCGAGAAGCCCUGGAGGCCCAGUGAGCACGGGGAGGGGCUAGACACUGGCUGGACAACCAUUAGUGAGCUGGGGGCCGGGCGGCUUGGGGACUACAUUUCCCAGGACGCCAAGCGGUCGCGCCCGGAAGCGACGCACCUUAGGCUCAGUGCGCAGGCGCAGAUGCCGCCUUGAGCUAUAUAAGGAACGUUCGCCACUGUUCUCGUCCUUUCUUUCCGGCGUCUCCGUGAGCGUUUGCAACAUUUCAGAUAUGUCUCGUCACUGCGGGAUUAAUUUGCAGAUGGUCGCCCUCAUCAGGCAGUACAGAAUGGAGGUUGGAGGGAGAGGACAUCCAGGGAGAUGAGAAUUCGCCUACUACCUUAGUCACAAGGUUUGCCGACAGCGGAGACCAGACUUUGAGUGGAGCCUGAACUCAGGAGGGAGAGCAUUGGCCCGAGGGAGCCGUGGAUGCCAGUGUUUGUCAUGAUUUCAGGUACUUUUGGAUUACAGAAUACCAGACCUGUUCCUGCUGCCCAGCCCCAUAAGGCUGGUCAUGGCUGUGGCCUAUGCAGAAUGCAAAGAAGGGUUACUUUUUAGCUGAGGGGGAGUAAUGGCACUGUGUGCACUGCUACAGAAAUAAAAAAUAUUGGCCUUGUAUUUGUAGAAAUAAAAAUCUGACUAGUGAUUUAAUUUA
Apodemus sylvaticus (European woodmouse) is the source of this 739-nucleotide long non-coding RNA. RefSeq lists it as uncharacterized. Lineage: Eukaryota; Metazoa; Chordata; Mammalia; Rodentia; Muridae. The record is from RefSeq and is a predicted model, not a curated record. The transcript is spliced from 5 exons.